GGGACAGGUUGCCAUGGUGAUCUCCUACCCCUUCCAGAUAGAACUUCUCAAGGAUGUUGCCCUUGGGCCUGAAAUAGUUCAGGCCUGCUCUCAGCUGCCGCAGGAGAAGCUGAAAUAGGGAGCCUCACUUCCUCACCUUUUCAACUCACACAAACUGAACCCUGGAGAUGAAAAGUUGCAGAACAGAGAAUAAUAUUUGUUUGGUGGAAAGUUUAUGGGAACAUUGUGACCUGACCUAUGUGGACAGCUACAAGAACAAAGGAUUCCAGCACCAAGAAGUUUUCAAUAACCACCCUCCUUCCCCUUUUAGUAUCAAAGAAGCCGCAAUUCUACUUCAGGAUGGUGUGGUGAUGGACAGGGAGGCCUGGCGUGCUGCGAUUCAUGGGGUCGCAAAGAGUUGGACACGACUGAGCGACUGAACUGAACUGAAGGAUGGUGUGGGUUAUUGUUUGUGCUGUCAGUUACCUAUGUAUCGUGUCUCAGCAUUAAAAUCACCCUUCAC
This 502-nucleotide long non-coding RNA is filed under the name Capra hircus (goat). RNAcentral describes it as "lncRNA (ENSCHIG00000006191.1)". Lineage: Eukaryota; Metazoa; Chordata; Mammalia; Artiodactyla; Bovidae. The record is from RNAcentral.